GACGAACGCUGGCGGCGUGCUUAACACAUGCAAGUCGAACGGACAGACAGAGAGCUUGCUCUCUUGAAGUUAGUGGCGAACGGGUGAGUAACGCGUAAUCAACCUGCCCUUCAGAGGGGGAUAACAACGGGAAACCGUUGCUAAUACCGCGUACGAUUCACAGUCGGCAUCGCUUGUGAAUGAAAGGUGGCCUCUAUGUAUAAGCUAUCGCUGAAGGAGGGGAUUGCGUCUGAUUAGCUAGUUGGAGGGGUAACGGCCCACCAAGGCAAUGAUCAGUAGCCGGUCUGAGAGGAUGAACGGCCACAUUGGGACUGAGACACGGCCCAAACUCCUACGGGAGGCAGCAGUGGGGAAUCUUCCGCAAUGGACGAAAGUCUGACGGAGCAACGCCGCGUGAGUGAUGAAGUAUUUCGGUAUGUAAACUUCGAAAGAAUAGGAAGAAUAAAUGACGGUACUAUUUAUAAGGUCCGGCUAACUACGUGCCAGCAGCCGCGGUAA
RNAcentral lists this ribosomal RNA (498 nucleotides) under uncultured bacterium. RNAcentral describes it as "bacterial SSU rRNA". It matches the Rfam family "Bacterial small subunit ribosomal RNA", at positions 28 to 523 of the family's 1533-position model. The record is from RNAcentral.